CCCCCUGCGACCCAGUUCCAGAUUACCAAAGCCUCAUGCUGUCCAGUAGACUUGGGUUGCGUGCACAUCCUUUGGAACACAGCAAAGGCGUAACCCGGGAUGCUCGGUUGGGCCUUGUGUCGUUACAUCGUUGGACCAAGAUCCAUGUGGGAUUCGAACUCACAAUGCUGUCAUGAGGCAGGUAGGGAGCAUGUUUGACUUCCACUCAUUUUCUCCAUGCUGUAGCAACUUGCUCCUCCCUCACCCUUCACCACGGCUAUCUCUUCUCUGCCUUCUCGCACUCUGCCAGUAUAACGCUCUUCCCUCCCUCGCCCUGCACCACGGCCCUCUCUCCUCCCCCUCCUCCCCCUCCACAUGUUAGGCUCUGCCAGUAUUAGGCUCUUCCCUCCCUCACCCUCCACCACGGCUAUCUCUUCCUGAGGAAACGCACCUCGCCAAGAGAGCUAGAGCGAGACACGCAAGGGGUAAAGGCAAAGUGAGGGUUAGGCACAUGUCCUACACAGUAUAUACACAACAUCACAGCAAGCGACAGUACUGUCUCCGCUCUUGCUCUGUAAAAAUGCCGAAAGCAGGCCAGAUGCCGUGCGCGCCUGAGCCCCCCCUACAGACGCCGUGCUCGCCUGACAGACUCCGUGUACGCCUGAGCCGCCCCAAUAUUCUAGGCCUGUGCGAACUUUGGGUAGGUGACAGUCGGGUGACCACGAGACCUGAGAGCUGUCUGAGGGUAUCUAAGCAUGCGCCUCGGCGCGUAAGGCCCAUUUACGACGUUUGCCAUUCAUAGACAGAACAAAUUGCAGCAUUUGGAGGUUUCCGACAGUUACCGGUGGUUUCACGAGGUUUCGAAGGAAGGUCAAAAAUCGGAUACUGCUUCGGAAACGCAGUCUAGGUUUCGGCCCGAGCACUGGUAAGCCUGGGGUCGCCUACGCAAUUGCUGUUUUCUCUCGCAGAUGGGUUUCAUAACCCUUAUUUUUCCUUUUUUGUUACUUUCUUUGUUUUUUGCAACGCUAAAACUCCCGGUCCAUG
This 1023-nucleotide long non-coding RNA is filed under the name Volvox carteri. RNAcentral describes it as "long non-coding RNA (VCAR_LNC001271)". Lineage: Eukaryota; Viridiplantae; Chlorophyta; Chlorophyceae; Chlamydomonadales; Volvocaceae. The record is from RNAcentral.